Molecule: small nucleolar RNA, 125 nt
Organism: Vulpes vulpes (red fox)
Lineage: Eukaryota; Metazoa; Chordata; Mammalia; Carnivora; Canidae
Gene: SNORA70
Rfam family: Small nucleolar RNA SNORA70
About the family: snoRNA U70 seems to be exclusive to mammals and is a member of the H/ACA class of snoRNA which contain H (ANANNA) and ACA box motifs. H/ACA box snoRNAs are involved in the conversion of uridines to pseudouridines (5-ribosyluracil) a constituent of structural RNAs (transfer, ribosomal, small nuclear, and small nucleolar).
Source: Ensembl
UUAUAUUUUAAUAAUUUGUGCUCUUUCCUCAUGGGGGUCCAGUGUAUAAUGGCUGCAAAUAGUAGCCUCCUCAAUAGUAUAUGCAGCUGUUGAUUGAAUUUUCUUAAGGGACCUCAGAGAUAGCC